Molecule: long non-coding RNA, 952 nt
Organism: Pipra filicauda (Wire-tailed manakin)
Lineage: Eukaryota; Metazoa; Chordata; Aves; Passeriformes; Pipridae
Exons: 3
Source: RefSeq, a predicted model, not a curated record
CUAGUUAUAUUUAUAGAUGUAUAUAGUUACAUAGUUAGAUGUAUAUGGAUGUUUAGGUACGUAUAUUGAUAUUUGUAUAGGUAUAGGCUGCUUUCUCACCUCUGCUACCUUUUCCAUCCCUCACUCUUCCCGCCAUGCUGCCUCUGUCCCCGCUCCCUGUGCCGCCUCUGGGCUGGUGGCCGGGCCGGGGGAGCAGCAGCUCCAGCCCCAGGUCCCGGCCCCCCGCACCCCCAUGGGACUGGGGGACCUUCUGGUGGCACCAGGCACCACUCCCCAAGGAGCUGCUGGAGGAUGGACUGCCCUGAAUUCCUCGUGAGCAGCAAGAGACUGAUGAGGGCCAAGAGAGAGAAGCUGACGACCACCAACCACAUCUUGAACAGGGACCUGCUGCUGCUGCUGCCUGAGACCCUUGAUGUCCAUCUGUACCUCUCCAGGAGGGCUGCUCUGCAUGGGAGGGAGAGACCGAGGAAGAGCCUGUGAAGAUGGGGCGGCUGGGAUCUCUCUGUAUAUACUUAUAUUUAGAGAUGUGUAUAGUUAUAGUUAUACCUAGGUAGUUAUAGGUAUAUAGAUAUUUACAUAUGUAGAUUGAAUAUUUGUAUAGGUAUAUUUAUAUAUUUAUCUAGUUAUAUAUGUACCUAGUUGUAUUUAUGUAUGUAUCUAGUUGUAUUUAUAUAUGUAUGUUAUAUUUCUAUCUGUAUUUUAGUUAUAAUUACAUAUGUGUGCAGUUGUAUAGCUAUGUAGUUAUAUUAUUCUAGUUAUAGGUAUAUGGAUUUUUAGAUGCAUAUAUUAAUAUAUGUAUCUAGUAAUAUGUAGGUAUAUUGCUAUAUGUAGGUAUAUUGUUAUAUUUUCAUUAUAUUUAAAUAUGUAUAGAGUUGUAUAGCUGUCUAAUUAUAUUGAUGUAGUUAUAGGCCUAUGGAUAUAUUGAUAUUUGUAUAUUUAUAUAUAGGUUCAC